AUUGAACGCUGGCGGCAGGCCUAACACAUGCAAGUCGAGCGGUAACAGGGGAAGCUUGCUUCUCGCUUACGAGCGGCGGACGGGUGAGUAAUGUAUGGGGAUCUGCCCGCUAGAGGGGGGUAACUACUGGAACCGGUAGCUAAUACAGCAUAAUCUCUUAGGAGCAAAGCAGGGGAACUUCGGUCCGUGCGCUAUCGGAUGAACCCAUAUGGGGUUAGCUAGUAGGGGAGGUAAUGGCUCACCUAGGCGACGAUCCCUAGCUGGUCUGAGAGGAGGAUCAGCCACACUGGGACUGAGACACGGCCCAGACUCCUACGGGAGGCAGCAGUGGGGAAUAUUGCACAAUGGGCGCAAGCCUGAUGCAGCCAUGCCGCGUGUAUGAAGAAGGCCCUAGGGUUGUAAAGUACUUUCAGUCGGGAGGAAGGCGUUGAUGCUAAUAUCAUCAGCGAUUGACGUUACCGACAGAAGAAGCACCGGCUAACUCCGUGCCAGCCGCCGCCGUAAGAC
RNAcentral lists this ribosomal RNA (507 nucleotides) under uncultured bacterium. RNAcentral describes it as "bacterial SSU rRNA". It matches the Rfam family "Bacterial small subunit ribosomal RNA", at positions 30 to 526 of the family's 1533-position model. The record is from RNAcentral.